UCGGAUUUGCUGGUCGGACAUA
RNAcentral lists this microRNA (22 nucleotides) under Melibe leonina. RNAcentral's name for it is "mle-miR-12098-5p". The record is from miRBase by way of RNAcentral. Lineage: Eukaryota; Metazoa; Mollusca; Gastropoda; Nudibranchia; Dendronotidae.